AUAAUGGGUCAGCGACUUAUAUUCUGUAGCAAGGUUAACCGAAUAGGGGAGCCGAAGGGAAACCGAGUCUUAACUGGGCGUUAAGUUGCAGGGUAUAGACCCGAAACCCGGUGAUCUAGCCAUGGGCAGGUUGAAGGUUGGGUAACACUAACUGGAGGACCGAACCGACUAAUGUUGAAAAAUUAGCGGAUGACUUGUGGCUGGGGGUGAAAGGCCAAUCAAACCGGGAGAUAGCUGGUUCUCCCCGAAAGCUAUUUAGGUAGCGCCUCGUGAAUUCAUCUCCGGGGGUAGAGCACUGUUUCGGCAAGGGGGUCAUCCCGACUUACCAACCCGAUGCAAACUGCGAAUACCGGAGAAUGUUAUCACGGGAGACACACGGCGGGUGCUAACGUCCGUCGUGAAGAGGGAAACAACCCAGACCGCCAGCUAAGGUCCCAAAGUCAUGGUUAAGUGGGAAACGAUGUGGGAAGGCCCAGACAGCCAGGAUGUUGGCUUAGAAGCAGCCAUCAUUUAAAGAAAGCGUAAUAGCUCACUGGUCGAGUCGGCCUGCGCGGAAGAUGUAACGGGGCUAAACCAUGCACCGAAGCUGCGGCAGCGACGCUUAUGCGUUGUUGGGUAGGGGAGCGUUCUGUAAGCCUGUGAAGGUGUACUGUGAGGUAUGCUGGAGGUAUCAGAAGUGCGAAUGCUGACAUAAGUAACGAUAAAGCGGGUGAAAAGCCCGCUCGCCGGAAGACCAAGGGUUCCUGUCCAACGUUAAUCGGGGCAGGGUGAGUCGACCCCUAAGGCGAGGCCGAAAGGCGUAGUCGAUGGGAAACAGGUUAAUAUUCCUGUACUUGGUGUUACUGCGAAGGGGGGACGGAGAAGGCUAUGUUGGCCGGGCGACGGUUGUCCCGGUUUAAGCGUGUAGGCUGGUUUUCCAGGCAAAUCCGGAAAAUCAAGGCUGAGGC
RNAcentral lists this ribosomal RNA (947 nucleotides) under Escherichia coli. Its description in RNAcentral is "partial 23S ribosomal RNA". It matches the Rfam family "Bacterial large subunit ribosomal RNA", at positions 612 to 1562 of the family's 2925-position model. Lineage: Bacteria; Pseudomonadati; Pseudomonadota; Gammaproteobacteria; Enterobacterales; Enterobacteriaceae. The record is from RNAcentral.